GGGAAACUGGGUAUAAUACCCGAUAGGUCUCGAUUGCUGGAAUGCAUCGAGAUUUAAAGCUCCGGCGCCUAAGGAUGGGUCUGCGGCCUAUCAGGUAGUAGUGGGUGUAGCGUACCUACUAGCCUACGACGGGUACGGGUUGUGAGAGCAAGAGCCCGGAGAUGGAUUCUGAGACACGAAUCCAGGCCCUACGGGGUGCAGCAGGCGCGAAAACUUUACAAUGCUGGCAACAGCGAUAAGGGAACCUCGAGUGCCAGGUUACAAAUCUGGCUGUCGAGAUGCCUAAAAAGCAUUUCAUAGCAAGGGCCGGGCAAGACCGGUGCCAGCCGCCGCGGUAACACCGGCGGCUCGAGUGGUAACCGUUAUUAUUGGGUCUAAAGGGUCUGAGCCGGCGGAUAAGUCUCUUGAGAAAUCUGCAGCUUACUGUCAGGCUUCGGAGAUACUGUCUGGCAGGCCGGGAGAGGUAGAGGACUUCAGGGGUAGGGAAAUCUGUAUCCUUGAAGGACACAGUGGCGAAGGCGUCUCACCAGAACGGACGCAGGAAGAAAGCAAGGCUAGGGGCACAGACCCGGUUACAUACCCGGGUAGUCCUAGCCGUAAACGAUACUCGCUAGGUGUCGGCCACGGUGCGACCGUUGUCGGUGCCGUAGGGAAGCCGUGAAGCGAGCCACCUGGGAAGUACGGCCGCAAGGCUGAAACUUAAAGGAAUUGGCGGGGG
Molecule: ribosomal RNA, 718 nt
Filed under: uncultured archaeon
Lineage: Archaea
Description: bacterial SSU rRNA
Rfam family: Archaeal small subunit ribosomal RNA
Source: RNAcentral